This 101-nucleotide small nucleolar RNA is filed under the name Dipodomys ordii (Ord's kangaroo rat). RNAcentral's name for it is "Small nucleolar RNA SNORA42/SNORA80 family (ENSDORG00000021371.2)". The record is from RNAcentral. Lineage: Eukaryota; Metazoa; Chordata; Mammalia; Rodentia; Heteromyidae.
GUUGGUAAAAAUAAGUGAAGGAAACCAGAGCAAACUGUGGUCCCGAACCAUUGCCUGGCCUCGCUCUGUGGGCUACUGGCACUGAAGGGGGUUGCACAGAG